RNAcentral lists this small nuclear RNA (108 nucleotides) under Dasypus novemcinctus (nine-banded armadillo). The record is from RNAcentral. Lineage: Eukaryota; Metazoa; Chordata; Mammalia; Cingulata; Dasypodidae.
GUGCCCACUUUGACAGCACAUAUACUAAAAUUGGAAUGAUACAAAGAAGAUUGGCAUGACCCCUGUGCAAGGAUGGCAUGCAAAUAUAGACAGAAUAAAGGAAAUAAU